This 406-nucleotide ribosomal RNA is filed under the name uncultured bacterium. RNAcentral's name for it is "partial 16S ribosomal RNA". It matches the Rfam family "Bacterial small subunit ribosomal RNA", at positions 30 to 526 of the family's 1533-position model. The record is from RNAcentral.
AUUGAACGCUGGCGGCAGGCCUAACACAUGCAAGUCGAACGAGUGGCGGACGGGUGAGUAAUGUCUGGGAAAGUGCCUGAUGGAUGGGGCUAACUACUGGAAACGGUCGCUGAUACCGCCUACCAUCGGAUGUGCCGAGAUGGGAUUAGGUUGUGGGUGGGGUAACGGCUGCCCAAGUCGACGAUCCCUACCGGGUCUGAGAGGAUGAACAGCCACACUGGAACUGAGACACGGUCCAGACUCCUACGGGAGGCAGCAGUGGGGAAUAUUGCACAAUGGGCGCAAGCCUGAUGCAGCCAUGCCGCGUGUAUGAAGAAGGACUUCGGGUUGUAAAGUACUUUCAGCUGGGAGGCGUUACCCGCAGAAGAAGCACCGGCUAACUCCGUGCCAGCCGCCGCGGUAAUAC